RNAcentral lists this transfer RNA (72 nucleotides) under Loxodonta africana (African savanna elephant). It matches the Rfam family "tRNA". From Rfam's summary of the family: Transfer RNA (tRNA) molecules are approximately 80 nucleotides in length. Their secondary structure includes four short double-helical elements and three loops (D, anti-codon, and T loops). The record is from Rfam by way of RNAcentral. Lineage: Eukaryota; Metazoa; Chordata; Mammalia; Proboscidea; Elephantidae.
GCCCUGGUGGCACAACAGUUACGUGCUUGACUGCUAACCAAAAGAUUGGUGGUUCAAACCCACCCAGUGGCU